This 446-nucleotide ribosomal RNA is filed under the name Mirostylochus akkeshiensis. RNAcentral's name for it is "partial 16S ribosomal RNA". It matches the Rfam family "Bacterial large subunit ribosomal RNA", at positions 1830 to 2597 of the family's 2925-position model. The record is from RNAcentral. Lineage: Eukaryota; Metazoa; Platyhelminthes; Polycladida; Stylochidae.
UUCCUUUAGAAGAUAUUUAAAGGUAGUGCCUGCUCAAUGUAACUAAUAAAUAGCUGCGGUAUCUUAACUGCACUAAGGUAGCAUAAUUAAUUGUCUUUUAAAUGGUGACUUGUUUGAAUGGUUUAAUGAGAGAAAGGUUUUCUUUGGACUAAAAAGAAUUUAUAUUUUAAGGUUAAAAUACCUAAUUUUAUAAGAAAGACGAGAAGACCCUGUUGAGUUUGACAGUGUAAAGUUACUGUUUGAAUGGGAAAUUUAAUUUCUUUUUGAAAUUUAGUAGAUCCUCGAGUUUUCACUCUGGAAAAAGGAUAAAAUUACCACAGGGAUAACAGGACUAUUUUUCCUGAGAGUUCUAAUUGAAGGAAAUGUUUGUUACCUCGAUGUUGAAUCGAAAUAUUCUUUUUGGUGCAGCAGCCAAAAAAGUGGGUCUGUUCGACCUUUAAAAUUUC